RNAcentral lists this ribosomal RNA (481 nucleotides) under uncultured bacterium. RNAcentral's name for it is "partial 16S ribosomal RNA". It matches the Rfam family "Bacterial small subunit ribosomal RNA", at positions 28 to 507 of the family's 1533-position model. The record is from RNAcentral.
GAUGAACGCUGGCGGCGUGCUUAACACAUGCAAGUCGAACGAAGCACUUUAUUUGAUUUCCUUCGGGACUGAUUAUUUUGUGACUGAGUGGCGGACGGGUGAGUAACGCGUGGGUAACCUGCCUUGUACAGGGGGAUAACAGUUGGAAACGGCUGCUAAUACCGCAUAAGCGCACGGCAUCGCAUGAUGCAGUGUGAAAAACUCCGGUGGUAUAAGAUGGACCCGCGUUGGAUUAGCUAGUUGGUGAGGUAACGGCCCACCAAGGCGACGAUCCAUAGCCGACCUGAGAGGGUGACCGGCCACAUUGGGACUGAGACACGGCCCAAACUCCUACGGGAGGCAGCAGUGGGGAAUAUUGCACAAUGGGCGAAAGCCUGAUGCAGCGACGCCGCGUGAGCGAAGAAGUAUUUCGGUAUGUAAAGCUCUAUCAGCAGGGAAGAUAAUGACGGUACCUUACUAAGAAGCACCGGCUAAAUACGUG